CUAAAUAAUUAUGAGUUUACAUUUUGGUCCCAUAAAUUGUAAAAUUCACAUUUUGGUCCCCUUGGUUUUGCUCCGUCAGUCAAAUUGAUCCCAUCCGUUAGUUUUUUAAUGUUUAAAAUUUUUGAUAUGAUAUUAGCCGUUUGAUUGCAUGUUCAUUAUACCUAUAGUGAGCCGUCGGCACCUAAUUUUUCCAGCACUAUCAUCUUAUCUCUUCUUCUCCCUCACUCUUGUUCAUCAUCAAAUAUUCAUACAUUCAUCACAAUUCACAACAACCUAGAAAAAAGAAGAAUUUAAACCCAAAAAAUUAAUAAAACUUGGAAACACACAGAUCUAUUUAUUUUUUUUAGAUUCUGGAAAUACACCACAACAACAAUCAGUUCCCAUUUCUCCAUCAAUCUGAGCUUUCUUCACAUCAAAUCCAAAUCUAUUUCACAAAACCAAUCCAGCAAAACAAAAUACAACACAAUAAAGAAAAAAGGAAACCACGAGGCUUCAAAGUCCAAAACAGUGAACACAAACAAAACAAAACAAAUGCCAAACUGUUAUUGUCCAUUGUCCGGCGCGGUGGUGGGGUCGUUUUCCGGUGCGGUAGUCGCCGAGAAAAUUCACCCGUUCGUGGUUUUUCUUUGUGGGUUUUGUAGAGAAUAUGAAGGAGAAUAUGUUUAUGGUGGUGGUUUGUCAUGAAACAAUUUGUGGUGGUCUAGAUCUAAUAAUGAAAGUGACGGUUUGGAGACUAUAAUAUAUCUCCGAUCCAAAAUUAAAUUUCAGAAUGAGAUAGAGAAAGAAGAGAGUAUGUAGAUUAUGUAUUUUGUUUGACAAAAGAUGGCCGGAAAAUUCAGUUGAAAAGGAGGAGAGGGAGAGUAUGGCUUUGUUUUGUAGAGAGAGGAAGAAAGAAAAGGAAAUGAAAGAAGAGUAGAGUAGAUUUUGUAAAGAGAGGAAAAAAUUAUGGUUUUUUUUUUCUUUUG
RNAcentral lists this long non-coding RNA (965 nucleotides) under Medicago truncatula (barrel medic). RNAcentral describes it as "long non-coding RNA (MTRU_LNC008632)". The record is from RNAcentral. Lineage: Eukaryota; Viridiplantae; Streptophyta; Magnoliopsida; Fabales; Fabaceae.